CUGGUUUUCUCUUUCAGCAGCUCUGAAAAGGAAUUUCUCCAAGCCAGAUGUGAAUAUCCCUGGAAUCCAAACCAUCACCAGCUUGUUGCAGUGCUCUC
This 98-nucleotide long non-coding RNA is filed under the name Cyanistes caeruleus (blue tit). RNAcentral's name for it is "lncRNA (ENSCCEG00000010194.1)". The record is from RNAcentral. Lineage: Eukaryota; Metazoa; Chordata; Aves; Passeriformes; Paridae.